AUGAAAAUCAUGAGCUGGAACUGCCGCGGGAUGGGGAAACCUGCUGCAGUUCGAGCGCUCUUGGGGAUCCAAGGGCAGGUCAGACCAGAUGUGUUAUUUCUGUCUGAAACACAUCUGGAUAAAGCUAAGGCGGGAAAGUUGAGAAGAAGACUAGGCUUUGAGGAGAUGGCAGUUUGGGAAAGUGACGGUAGGAAUGGAGGGUGUCGUGGUACUAAGACUGACAGUAAGAGUAGGGGGUACGUAGGAGGAGGCAAGGUCCUAGCUACGGUGAGAUUGUAUGCAAGUGUUUACGAGUUCUGGCCCCUCUCGAAGGAGGUAAAAGCCCUACGUCUCGGUGCCCGGAGGAGGUCGACUGGAUUUCAGUAUAUGCGUGUGUGUUACAGGGGGUGCGAACCCUUGUGCCAGAGGAGGGUUGGCUUAUAUAGAGUGCGCCAGGACCCCAGCUCCCCUCCGUUACAGGGGAUUCAAUGUACAUAA
Molecule: ribosomal RNA, 477 nt
Filed under: Triticum aestivum (bread wheat)
Lineage: Eukaryota; Viridiplantae; Streptophyta; Magnoliopsida; Poales; Poaceae
Description: partial small subunit ribosomal RNA
Source: RNAcentral